CUCGGUGUAGCGCAGCUGGCAGCGCAGGUGCUUUGGGAGCAUCAGGUCGCAGGUUCGAUCCCUGCCACCGAGACCA
This 76-nucleotide transfer RNA is filed under the name Pseudaquabacterium terrae. RNAcentral's name for it is "tRNA-Pro". It matches the Rfam family "tRNA". From Rfam's summary of the family: Transfer RNA (tRNA) molecules are approximately 80 nucleotides in length. Their secondary structure includes four short double-helical elements and three loops (D, anti-codon, and T loops). The record is from RNAcentral. Lineage: Bacteria; Pseudomonadati; Pseudomonadota; Betaproteobacteria; Burkholderiales; Sphaerotilaceae.